GAUGAAGAACGUAGCGAAAUGCGAUACGUAAUGUGAAUUGCAGAAUUCAGUGAAUCAUCGAAUCUUUGAACGCACAUUGCGCCCGCGAGUAUUCUCGCGGGCAUGCCUGUCCGAGCGUCAUUUCAACCCUCAGGGCCCGCCUGCUUGCAGGCGCGGCGCUGGUGUUGGGGAUCGGCUACCCUGCCGUCCCCCAAAUACAGUGGCGGUCUCGCUGCAGCCUCCCCUGCGUAGUAGCAACACUCGCAUGCGGAGCGCGGCGCGGCCACGCCGUAAAACCCCCGACUUUCUGAACGUUGACCUCGGAUCAGGUAGGAAUACCCGCUGAACUUAAGCAUAUCAAUAAGCGGAGGA
This 351-nucleotide unclassified non-coding RNA is filed under the name soil metagenome. RNAcentral's name for it is "partial contains 5.8S ribosomal RNA, internal transcribed spacer 2, and large subunit ribosomal RNA". The stretch from base 1 to 120 matches the Rfam family "5.8S ribosomal RNA", at positions 35 to 154 of the family's 154-position model. The record is from RNAcentral.